AACGUUCUUCGCAAGAAGAGCGUGGCAAACGGGAGAGUAACACAUUGGUAAUCUACCUUUAUCUUGGGCAUAACCCGGAGAAAUCUGGGACAAUUCCCAAUAGUCAUGGGGGGACAUAAGUCAUUCCCAUGUAAAGUUCCGACGGAUAAAGAGGAGCCUAUGGCCCAUCAGCUAGUUGGUAGGGUAAUGGCCUACCAAGGCUACGACGGGUAGCAGGUGUGAGAGCAUGACCUGCCCCACUGGGACUGAGACACUGCCCAGACUCCUACGGGAGGCUGCAGUCAAGAAUCUUCCUCAAUGGGCGAAAGUCUGAAGGAGCAAUGCCGCGUGAUCGAUGAAGCCCCUCGGGGUGUAAAGAUCUU
This 362-nucleotide ribosomal RNA is filed under the name uncultured bacterium. Its description in RNAcentral is "bacterial SSU rRNA". It matches the Rfam family "Bacterial small subunit ribosomal RNA", at positions 65 to 435 of the family's 1533-position model. The record is from RNAcentral.